UGUCUCCUUUCUCCAAUCAGUGAAACUGAUCUUCCCGUGAAGAAGCGGGAAUUAUUUUAUAAGACGAGAAGACCCCAUGGAGCUUUAAACCCAAUUACAACCUUAUUUUUUUCAUCUUCAUAACCUUUAAGGUAGUGUAUAUCUGGUUUUAGGUUGGGGUGACCGCGGAGCAUAAAUAAGCCUCCACGAUGAACGGAAUUAUUUCCUUAUCUAAGAAUUACAUUUCUAAGAAUUAAUAUUUUAACAUACAAUGAUCCAAUAUUUGAUCAACGAACCAAGUUACCCUGGGGAUAACAGCGCAAUCCACUUCAAGAGCCCCUAUCGACAAGUGGGUUUACGACCUCGAUGUU
This 350-nucleotide ribosomal RNA is filed under the name Blommersia blommersae (Ambrana Madagascar frog). Its description in RNAcentral is "partial 16S ribosomal RNA". It matches the Rfam family "Bacterial large subunit ribosomal RNA", at positions 2017 to 2533 of the family's 2925-position model. The record is from RNAcentral. Lineage: Eukaryota; Metazoa; Chordata; Amphibia; Anura; Mantellidae.